UCCCGGUUGUCCCGGGCAGUCUCUUUAGAGUUCCCAGCAUUACCUGAUGGCAACUAAAGAUAAGGGUUGCGCUCGUUGCGGGACUUAACCCAACAUCUCACGACACGAGCUGACGACAGCCAUGCAGCACCUAUUCACCGGUCCCUUGCGGGAAAGCCUGCUUUCACAGGUUGGCCGGGAUAGUUAAAUCUGGGUAAGGUUCUUCGCGUUGCCUCGAAUUAAACAACAUGCUCCACCGCUUGUGCGGGCCCCCGUCAAUUCCUUUGAGUUUCAGCCUUGCGGCCGUAGUUCCCAGGCGGAGUACUUAAUGCGUUAGCUGCGGCACUGAAGGGGUCAAUACCUCCAACACCUAGUACUCAUCGUUUACGGCGUGGACUAC
This 379-nucleotide unclassified non-coding RNA is filed under the name uncultured bacterium. RNAcentral describes it as "contains 16S-23S intergenic spacer region". The record is from RNAcentral.